UCGAAUCAUGCUCAAAAGUAAGAAACUACCAAAAUAAUUGUGGGUUGAAGUUGUGGCGUGUGUAGUCUAAUUAACUAAUAGAUCUCCAACAAUAAGUGUGUGAAAAACACCACAAGAUGCAUAGAGUGGAAGAAAUUCUAGAUUAUCACACUUGAGGGUCACAUAUGUUCAUAUUUUAGACGAUAAGAAAGCCAAACUUGACGACAAGAGCUAGAAAUUCAACCUUGUUGGUUAUCAUCAAAGUUCAUAG
This 250-nucleotide long non-coding RNA is filed under the name Medicago truncatula (barrel medic). RNAcentral's name for it is "long non-coding RNA (MTRU_LNC007016)". The record is from RNAcentral. Lineage: Eukaryota; Viridiplantae; Streptophyta; Magnoliopsida; Fabales; Fabaceae.